CUGAGACCGGUCCGGGGCUCGAGCCGGGGCCCCUUGCUCCGCCCACUCCCCUGGCUGUGGCCCCGGCAUGGCGGGCCCCUGGGGUGUCCCCGUAACCUGCGUGGGGUUCCUGAGGCUCAGGGCUCCUUGGGAGCGCAGGCCGCGGCUACCGCGGGGGCUCCACCCUACCAACUCCAUCCAGUCGCUCCAGCUCCACACCCAUUGGCUCAAGCCCCCACCCUGUUAACAUGAGACUCCUGAAUUUGGAGGGACAGAUGCUCACAGCAUAGCACCUGCCCUAGGAUUCUCCGGGUGGCUGUCACGCACACCUGCCCCGGCUUCUAGAAUGGGGGGUACAAAGCUGCUCAGUCCCUGGUGUGACUGCCCCGUGGCCUGGUCCCUAGGAGUGACGCCAGCCUGGGGGGCCGGGUCAAGGGCUGCUUCUGGUUUUGGGAGAAUCCCCUUGUCCUGGCAGGGGUGGGGCAGGGAGGGGUUUGCCAUCCCACAGGUAAGGCUGAGGCCCUCAAGGCUCCCUUGUCCCUGGGUGGACGCUCUUGUCCAGCUCUGGGCAAGCAUGCCCUUGGCUGGGGCCCUGAAGUGGGGCAGAGGUCACAGCUGCUGGCCAGUGGAGCUCGGCCACAGUCACACACGAGGGCGGGAGCACGAGCGUGGACAGGGCCCAGGGCUCUGGCUGCACGACUCCUCCUCCGUCCUCUGCCCACAGUUCUUCACUCAUGGAUGGCGAGGACUGCCCCAGGGUGGCAGUGAGGCCUGGCCACAGCUCAGGGAGCUUGCCGGGGGUGGGGGUCGGGGGUCACUGAGGAGCCGUAGCCUCCACUGCGCUCAGCUGCGACCCCUGCAGAGCCCGGGCGUCCGCAGUCCUCGCCCAGUGCAGUCCUCGCCCAGUGCGCGCUGCUGCCAGUCCUCCGUGGUUGCUGGGGUGGCCCGGGCCAGCCUAGGAGGGGGUGUGGCCGGCGGUUUUGUGGUCAUGACCACUGCUUCUCACAUGCUCCAGAGGAAGAAACUGACCAACCCUGAAUCCUGACAGCCUCAUGGAGCCAGAGCCCACCAGGCUCCCGGAAUCUGGAGCCCCCAGACCCCCUGUGGAACCAAGGACCUCGUGUCCGGCGACCGAGCCCUCGGAGGAGAGGAAGUUCCGGGUCCUGGUGGGCGUCACGGGCAGCGUGGCGGCCUUGAAGCUUCCUCUUCUGGUGUCAAGGCUUCUGGACGUGCCCGGGCUGGAAGUUGCAGUGGUCACAACUGAGAGAGCCAAACACUUCUACAGCCCCCAGGACGUGGCCGUCACCCUCUACAGCGACGCUGACGAGUGGGAGAUGUGGAAGCAGCGCUGUGACCCUGUGCUGCACAUUGACCUGCGGAGGUGGGCCGACCUCAUGCUGGUGGCCCCGCUGGACGCCAACACCCUGGGGAAGGUGGCCAGCGGCAUCUGUGACAACUUGCUUCCUCCCGGGAGCUGGCGUCCUGGGAGCUGCCCUUGCUUCUGUGGUCGUCCUGGAAGAUCUGAGUGCGAGCUCUCCCCUGCCGUGAGACACGGCACUCACGAUCGGAAGGCACGCUCACCCGCGCCCCAGCCAGCAGUACGGUCCUGCGAGGCCCUGUCGGGCACCCUGGUGUCGUGCGGGCGUGGGAGGCGAGUAGUGACUCCACUUUCACAGACAGCCCGCAGUUCUGAGCUCGAUUUGGGAAAGAACGGGAGUCGUGACGCGGAGGCGGGGCUUGGGGUCAGAUGCACGGUUUGUGUCCUUGCCCGCUUGCCAGUGGGCUCUGCAGUGUCAGCCUCGUCUGAGGCAGGGCUUGGGGCGAGCAGGGCGCCCACGCCGUGUGCUGCAGGAGAGCUGGCCCCUGGAGGCCACGCCGUGUGCUGCAGGACAGCUGGCCUCGGAGGCACCAGGAGCGCUUCCUGGCGGGGCUGCUCCUGGGGCCUGCAGGUGAGGCGCCCAGUCCUGCUCAUCACAGAGGGGUCAGCGUGUGUGACCAGCCUGACCCACAAGUCCCAGGCCUCCCACUGGCUGCCCAGCUGCCUCCCGUAUGACAAAGCUCGCUGACCUCAAGGACCUCUCCCUUCCUUUUUCCUUCAAAGCUGCUGCCACCCUGAACUCAGGACACCCCCCCCCCCCAGCUGGCAGGCACGAGGCUCACGAAGCUUGAACUGGUGUCCUCGCUCAGUGGCACUCACCGCAUGCCCCCUGCAGGGCCCCCCGCCUGCUGUCUCCCUCCCCACCUCUUCUCCCUUCCAGUCCAGACCCUGGGAUGCCAGGGGAGCCUGCUAGGAGUGGGCCUGUGCCCCUUGCCUCCGUGCCUGCCUUCUGGCCCAUGCAGGCCCCGGCCUGUCCUGUGCCACACAAGCAGGCAGAUCUAGAGAGAGGAGGUGACUUCCCAGCAUGGAACGUGCAGCUGGGAGCGGGCUGUUGGCUGAGCACCAGCCCUUUGGUGUCUGGUUGGAUUCCUGGGUGCAGAACCAGAGGCGCAGGACACAGAUAGGAGUGGCCGUGUGAGCCAGUGACUUCCUCUCCUCCCUCCUGCUGCCAGUGGGUGACAGGCAGGGUGGCAGGCAGGUGGCUCAGAGGAGCCGUGGGCUGCCCAGGAAGUGCUGCUGUCCAAGGUGAGGUAGGGAGAGCUUGCUGUGCUGGGCUUUGAAGAGGGCACCUAGGAGCCCCCACUCAGCCCCCCACCCCACAGCGCUAGGGCAGCAGCAGGUGGCUGGGGCCAGGAGGAAGUGCAACCGAAACCGGCCACUCACAGCCCAGCUGCUGUGUUGCCAGCACUGGGUGGGAAACCGACGCUGUGUCUGAGAUGACGCAGGCAGUAGGUCUGGGGCUGUGUGGGACAGAACUUCCUUCCUGUCCCCAGGGGAGGGCAAGGGCACCUAGGGCAGCUGUGGUCCUGGCCUGUUGGUAGCAUUCCCAGAUGGGCCGCACUGCAGGGGGGUUUCAUGUCCAGGGAGGAGGCGCCUGCAGCCGUUGGUGCCUGGGGGAGCCCGCUCCCUCCUGGGGCAGCCCCCGGCCCAGGGAGCCUGUGUCUGGCAACCACAGGAACUGCUUGAGGGCCGGGGCCUCGCGCCAGCCCUUGCUGUGAGCCCUGACAGCCUCUCGCCCGCAGGCCUUGCAGCUACACAGGAAGGACUCUGAGGGAGGGGCUGCGCCCCCCAGCCCGUGAGAGGAGGCACAGCCAGACCUGUGUCAUCCGGGCCUGGGACCGCAGCAAGCCCCUGCUCUUCUGCCCGGCAAUGAACACGGCCAUGUGGGAGC
This is a non-coding RNA of Oryctolagus cuniculus (rabbit), 3248 nucleotides long. The record is from RefSeq and is a predicted model, not a curated record. Lineage: Eukaryota; Metazoa; Chordata; Mammalia; Lagomorpha; Leporidae.